UAUACCCUGCUGUGUUCGUGAUGCGGCAUGUUCGGUUUUGGGCCAACACCCACAAUUUGGGUUCCAUUAUCUGCAGUAGUACCGCGAUAGGCCUCGGCCAAGGCGAAGCUACUGGGGCGGGACCCUACCUGCGCAAGCAGGUUCAAAACUGCGCAGCACACGGCAUGGCGGGGGCUUU
This 178-nucleotide non-coding RNA is filed under the name Chloroflexota bacterium. RNAcentral describes it as "Chloroflexi bacterium (anaerobic digester metagenome) 6S RNA". It matches the Rfam family "6S / SsrS RNA". Rfam says of the family: E. coli 6S RNA was the first non coding RNA to be sequenced, but its function was unknown until recently. Lineage: Bacteria; Bacillati; Chloroflexota. The record is from RNAcentral.